AUCCGACCGUUGGAUGGUAAUGAAAUUUUAGGAUGUUAUCCUAGAGAUAUAUUGUGGACCUCUGGAAGUUAUGGAUUUAAAAUCUGAGUGGCAGAUCUUCCGGAUCGAACUACGUAGUGACGUAUUUUAUAUAAGUUAAAUAUUCUAUCGAUAUGAAUUCUGAGGUUGGAUUUGAUUACUAUUCUAGGCGGCGAUCGUCGUGACGCCUUGAUGUGUGGUGCUAGGGAGUUGUUGGAUGAACUCCAGGUGAGUGGGCAGUUUUGUUUUCCGUAUAUAUAUAUAUACUUAACGUUUUCCCAGAAAUUGAAAAUGCAUGAAAUUAUGUUUAAAAUGAAAUGCAUAUGAGUUAUGUGGAAAAACGGGAAGUGAAAUACCAUGCAUAGAAUUGAUAUGAAAAGUAUAUAGAAAUGUGAGUUGAAAUGCCAUGCAUGAAUUAAUAUAUGAUGCAUAUGUAUGAAUUGGUGCGGUGGACGCACAGGUAAGAAAUUGAUUUAUGACGCAUAUGUAUGAAUUGGUGCGGUGGACGCACAGGUAAGAAUUGAUUUAUGAUGCAUAUGUAUGAAAUGGUGCGGUGGACGCACAGAUGAGUAUUUAAUUACUGUUAUGAUGAUGAUGAUAUAUAUUGAGCUCAAAUCCUGCACCAUGGUUUAGUGCUUAUAGUAUUCACCGCAUCGCACGCUCGCCUUGGAUCCAAGUAGAUGCUAGUCGUACAGUCCACGCGGAGUGGGUACGACAGACCAGUCGCGAGAGUGUUAGUGAGAUUCCGACUGGUGG
This 774-nucleotide long non-coding RNA is filed under the name Malus domestica (apple). RNAcentral's name for it is "long non-coding RNA (MDOM_LNC001344)". The record is from RNAcentral. Lineage: Eukaryota; Viridiplantae; Streptophyta; Magnoliopsida; Rosales; Rosaceae.